Molecule: ribosomal RNA, 698 nt
Filed under: uncultured cyanobacterium
Lineage: Bacteria; Bacillati; Cyanobacteriota
Description: bacterial SSU rRNA
Rfam family: Bacterial small subunit ribosomal RNA
Source: RNAcentral
AGAGUUGAUCCUGGCUCAGGAUGAACGCUGGCGGUAUGCUUAACACAUGCAAGUCGAACGGAGUUCUUCGGAACUUAGUGGCGGACGGGUGAGUAACGCGUGAGAAUCUGCCUUCAGGUCGGGGACAACAGCUGGAAACGGCUGCUAAUACCGGAUGUGCCGAGAGGUAAAAGCUUUAGUGCCUGAAGAGGAGCUCGCGUCUGAUUAGCUAGUUGGUUGGGUAAUGGCCGACCAAGGCGACGAUCAGUAGCUGGUCUGAGAGGAUGAGCAGCCACACUGGGACUGAGACACGGCCCAGACUCCUACGGGAGGCAGCAGUGGGGAAUUUUCCGCAAUGGGCGAAAGCCUGACGGAGCAAUACCGCGUGUGGGAGGAAGGCUCUUGGGUUGUAAACCACUUUUCUCAGGGAAGAAUAGAUGACGGUACCUGAGGAAUAAGCAUCGGCUAACUCCGUGCCAGCAGCCGCGGUAAUACGGAGGAUGCAAGCGUUAUCCGGAAUCAUUGGGCGUAAAGCGUCCGCAGGUGGCCUAUCAAGUCUGCUGUCAAAGCGCAGAGCUUAACUCUGUAAAGGCGGUGGAAACUGAUAAGCUAGAGUACGGUAGGGGUAGCGGGAAUUCCCAGUGUAGCGGUGAAAUGCGUAGAUAUUGGGAAGAACAUCGGUGGCGAAGGCGCGCUACUGGGCCGAAACUGACACUGAG